AUUGGAAGUGAUGAGUAGACUAUAUUGUUUCCCUAUUGGUUUGAUCACCGAUAUGAUGGUGCAAUUGUAUUAGCUCUAUCUGAUCCAUU
This is a non-coding RNA of Daucus carota subsp. sativus, 89 nucleotides long. NCBI's taxonomy places the organism in Eukaryota, Viridiplantae, Streptophyta, Magnoliopsida, Apiales, Apiaceae. The record is from Rfam.